GAUGAACGCUGGCGGCGUGCCUAAUACAUGCAAGUCGAGCGAACGGACGAGAAGCUUGCUUCUCUGAUGUUAGCGGCGGACGGGUGAGUAACACGUGGAUAACCUACCUAUAAGACUGGGAUAACUUCGGGAAACCGGAGCUAAUACCGGAUAAUAUUUUGAACCGCAUGGUUCAAAAGUGAAAGACGGUUUUGCUGUCACUUAUAGAUGGAUCCGCGCUGCAUUAGCUAGUUGGUAAGGUAACGGCUUACCAAGGCAACGAUGCAUAGCCGACCUGAGAGGGUGAUCGGCCACACUGGAACUGAGACACGGUCCAGACUCCUACGGGAGGCAGCAGUAGGGAAUCUUCCGCAAUGGGCGAAAGCCUGACGGAGCAACGCCGCGUGAGUGAUGAAGGUCUUCGGAUCGUAAAACUCUGUUAUUAGGGAAGAACAUAUGUGUAAGUAACUGUGCACAUCUUGACGGUACCUAAGCAGAAAGCCACGGCUAACUACGU
This 496-nucleotide ribosomal RNA is filed under the name uncultured bacterium. Its description in RNAcentral is "partial 16S ribosomal RNA". It matches the Rfam family "Bacterial small subunit ribosomal RNA", at positions 28 to 506 of the family's 1533-position model. The record is from RNAcentral.